UGGGGAAUAUUGCACAAUGGGCGCAAGCCUGAUGCAGCCAUGCCGCGUGUAUGAAGAAGGCCUUCGGGUUGUAAAGUACUUUCAGCGGGGAGGAAGGGAGUAAAGUUAAUACCUUUGCUCAUUGACGCUACCCGCAGAAGAAGCACCGGCUAACUCCGUGCCAGCAGCCGCGGUAAUACGGAGGGUGCAAGCGUUAAUCGGAAUUACUGGGCGUAAAGCGCACGCAGGCGGUUUGUUAAGUCAGAUGUGAAAUCCCCGGGCUCAACCUGGGAACUGCAUCUGAUACUGGCAAGCUUGAGUCUCGUAGAGGGGGGUAGAAUUCCAGGUGUAGCGGUGAAAUGCGUAGAGAUCUGGAGGAAUACCGGUGGCGAAGGCGGCCCCCUGGACGAAGACUGACGCUCAGGUGCGAAAGCGUGGGGAGCAAACAGG
RNAcentral lists this ribosomal RNA (429 nucleotides) under Chloroflexota bacterium. Its description in RNAcentral is "Chloroflexi bacterium partial 16S ribosomal RNA". It matches the Rfam family "Bacterial small subunit ribosomal RNA", at positions 355 to 776 of the family's 1533-position model. Lineage: Bacteria; Bacillati; Chloroflexota. The record is from RNAcentral.